GACGGAGGGGGCUAGCGUUGUUCGGAAUGACUGGGCGUAAAGGGCGCGUAGGCGGUUUUUUAAGUGAGGCGUGAAAGCCCUGGGCUUAACCCAGGAGGUGCGUUUCAGACUGGAAGGCUUGAGUGCGAGAGAGGAAAGUGGAAUUCCUAGUGUAGAGGUGAAAUUCGUAGAUAUUAGGAAGAACACCAGUGGCGAAGGCGGCUUUCUGGCUCGCAACUGACGCUGAGGCGCGAAAGCGUGGGGAGCAAACAGG
RNAcentral lists this ribosomal RNA (253 nucleotides) under uncultured bacterium. Its description in RNAcentral is "partial 16S ribosomal RNA". It matches the Rfam family "Bacterial small subunit ribosomal RNA", at positions 524 to 776 of the family's 1533-position model. The record is from RNAcentral.